ACAUUAAUAUUUCAUCCAUAUACAUAAACUUGCUGCAAUCCCUCACUUCUCCCGAACCCUAACCUUUUGUCUAACGCCAUACUAUAAUAGGCCUCUCCUCCCUUUUGUCGUUAGAUCCAUUUCUGCUUCUGCCAUCCAAACUUCCGCCACCGCCACAGACGAAUAUCAAGAUAACAGGAAGUUAAAAAGUUACGAGCAGAGAGAAAUGCAGUUGCAAACAAAAUGAAAGGAAAACUAGAACUCUCAGAACGCCAGAAGCUCUUUGAAGAAGGAAAGAAUCUGAAGGAAGAACUUGUUACUUUGGAAGAAGACCUGCUAAAACUUCCAGAUGAGCUGCAGCAAGAAGCACAAUCCAUACCUAAGAUGACACAUCUAGAUGUUCCAUUAGGAGGGGAAGAUUCUUCAACAGUCAGGAAAAUGGUAAUUCUUAUUUGAUAUACACAGGUGUGCAGACCACAUUAUUUUGAUCCUUCUCAAGCCAAGUGAUUUGAGAAACGUUUGACCAUGUGACUCAAAUUUUGCUACAGAUGACCCAUAUGUUGCUACAUAUGAGACAUAUGUUGCUACAGAUGACUUAUCUGUUGCUACAAAUGAAUCAAAUGUUGAU
Solanum tuberosum (potato) is the source of this 607-nucleotide long non-coding RNA. RefSeq lists it as uncharacterized. The record is from RefSeq and is a predicted model, not a curated record. Lineage: Eukaryota; Viridiplantae; Streptophyta; Magnoliopsida; Solanales; Solanaceae. The transcript has 3 exons.